CUACGGGCCGCUCCAGUGGGGAAUAUUGCACAAUGGAGGAAACUCUGAUGCAGCAACGCCGCGUGGAGGAUGACACUUUUCGGAGCGUAAACUCCUUUUAUAUAGGAAGAAGAUGACGGUACUAUAUGAAUAAGCGCCGGCUAACUCCGUGCCAGCAGCCGCGGUAAUACGGAGGGCGCGAGCGUUACUCGGAAUCACUGGGCGUAAAGAGCGUGUAGGCGGAUUAAAAAGUCAGAAGUGAAAUCCUAUAGCUUAACUAUAGAACUGCUUCUGAAACUCUUAAUCUAGAAUAUGGGAGAGGUAGAUGGAAUUUCUGGUGUAGGGGUAAAAUCCGUAGAGAUCAGAAGGAAUACCGAGUGCGAAGGCGAUCUACUAGAACAUUAUUGACGCUGAGACGCGAAAGCGUGGGGAGCAAACAGGAUUAGAUACCCGUGUAGUC
RNAcentral lists this ribosomal RNA (439 nucleotides) under uncultured bacterium. RNAcentral's name for it is "partial 16S ribosomal RNA". It matches the Rfam family "Bacterial small subunit ribosomal RNA", at positions 339 to 795 of the family's 1533-position model. The record is from RNAcentral.